UGGACAAAAAAUCUGUUUCUUUUCUCUUCACGCACAACAACAAUUCUACAAUAAAGUAUAGAGCAUGUUUAUCUAUUAUAAAUCUGCAUGAAACCUGAAUACUUAUAAUAAGAUUGAAUUGACACAGAAUAAAUGUGCAAAAACGAAAUGCUUGUGGUUGCCAAAUUGGUUGAACAGGGACAAAAAUCCCAAUCUUAAAACCUGAAAGCACGGAGAGUAUAAAGUUAGAAAAAAAAUAUCUCAAUUACUUCAACCAUUUGCUCAGUCAUGCACGGUUAAAUCGGCCUAACUAAAUCAUGCAUGCAGUGCUGACUAAAUCAUGCAUGCAGUAAAGCUAUCUCGUUAUAUAUAUUCCUACUUGCAGGUUCCAGUUCCACGCCCAUCCCAAACUUUUCUGCUCAUACACAAGCACAAUCCUACUCAUAUCUGAUACAAGUUCUUGUUCAUACACAUCACAGUUUUCGAUGGAUAUCGGCCAUGCCAACAUCGGAGACAUACACUUCAAUGGAGCAAAGAGGAUAAUCUAUGUCUGGUAAGUCAUUUGUUUAAUUAUUAAUAGUUAUUAUAUAAUGAAAAGGUUGGCCUAACAAUAUUUUAUGAAUUGAGCAGGUAAAUGCUUGGUUAAAUGUUCCCGCUGAUUUUGUUGUCGGCAAUGAAAACGGUGCACGGGAUUACUGGAAUCAAGUCGCUGACGAAUAUAACGCAAAUACCGCCGAUAAUCGAAGAAGACAACCUAUCCAAAUCAGACGACAUUGGGGUAAGAUGAGCUCUGAAAUUCUACUAUUCGAUGGCAUGUGGCGCAAGGUCAACGAUGCAUUCGCAGCUGUUGGACAAUAUAGCCAGGACUUAGUUUCCAAAUCUCUAGAGAUGUAUAGGUU
RNAcentral lists this long non-coding RNA (878 nucleotides) under Triticum aestivum (bread wheat). RNAcentral describes it as "long non-coding RNA (TAES_LNC000514)". Lineage: Eukaryota; Viridiplantae; Streptophyta; Magnoliopsida; Poales; Poaceae. The record is from RNAcentral.